GGAGAGGUGACUGAGUGGCCGAAAGUGGCACACUGCUAAUGUGUUAGAGGGUAAAACCUCUCGAGGGUUCGAAUCCCUCCCUCUCCG
RNAcentral lists this transfer RNA (87 nucleotides) under Candidatus Nealsoniibacteriota bacterium. RNAcentral's name for it is "Candidatus Nealsonbacteria bacterium tRNA-Ser". It matches the Rfam family "tRNA". From Rfam's summary of the family: Transfer RNA (tRNA) molecules are approximately 80 nucleotides in length. Their secondary structure includes four short double-helical elements and three loops (D, anti-codon, and T loops). Lineage: Bacteria; Candidatus Nealsoniibacteriota. The record is from RNAcentral.